UGUAUGGAUUAGUGGCGGACGGGUGAGUAACGCGUGGAUAACCUGCCGUAUACAGGGGGAUAACACUUAGAAAUAGGUGCUAAUACCGCAUAAGCGCACGGUUCCGCAUGGAACAGUGUGAAAAACUCCGGUGGUAUACGAUGGAUCCGCGUCUGAUUAGCCAGUUGGCGGGGUAACGGCCCACCAAAGCGACGAUCAGUAGCCGGCCUGAGAGGGUGAACGGCCACAUUGGGACUGAGACACGGCCCAAACUCCUACGGGAGGCAGCAGUGGGGAAUAUUGCACAAUGGGGGAAACCCUGAUGCAGCGACGCCGCGUGAGUGAAGAAGUAUCUCGGUACGUAAAGCUCUAUCAGCAGGGAAGAAAAUGACGGUACCUGACUAAGAAGCCCCGGCUAACUACGUGCCAGCAGCCGCGGUAAUACGUAGGGGGGCAAGCGUUAUCCGGAUUUACUGGGUGUAAAGGGAGCGUAGACGGCAGCGCAAGUCUGGAGUGAAAUGCCGGGGCUCAACCCCGGAACUGCUUUGGAAACUGUGCAGCUCGAGUGCAGGAGAGGUAAGCGGAAUUCCUAGUGUAGCGGUGAAAUGCGUAGAUAUUAGGAGGAACACCAGUGGCGAAGGCGGCUUACUGGACUGUAACUGACGUUGAGGCUCGAAAGCGUGGGGAGCAAACAGGAUUAGAUACCCUGGUAGUCCACGCCGUAAACGAUGAUUACUAGGUGUCGGGGGGCCAAGGCCCUCCGGUGCCGC
This 749-nucleotide ribosomal RNA is filed under the name uncultured bacterium. RNAcentral's name for it is "bacterial SSU rRNA". It matches the Rfam family "Bacterial small subunit ribosomal RNA", at positions 84 to 849 of the family's 1533-position model. The record is from RNAcentral.